CGUCGAUGGACCCUGGGGCCACACCCUUCGUCUGGCAGCCAGUCUUCUUAAAGGUCUGCCACCCUCCUGGUGUGACACCAGCUGAGACUCGUCACCUAAAGGGACCUGACCGCACCUACUCUGGGCCCCAGCUGAUCCCCGCCAGGCGCUCGGAGCUGCUCCGCCCUGUUCUCUGGGACCUGCAUGCGUCCGGCCUCCUUGGAGCCGCCUCCACACUCUGUUUCAUGUCAUGAUCUCACGGUUCUUGAGUUCGAGCCCCGCGUCAGGCUCUGUGCCGACAGCUCAGGAGAGAGGAGACCAGGCGUGUGAGCAAAGCAUCUGAGACCCUGCAGAGAAGCCCAGCCACCAGCUUGAAGCACUUCCAGCACCGAGUCCCAGGCUCUGAAGCGAGGACUGGGGUCCUUGUCCGACGACCUGCCCUUCCCGGAAGACCCUCCCGUCCACCUGAGUGUGUGGUGAGAUGCAGAAGGCACAGAAGGGGCUGGAGCUGCUUCCAUUUCUCUGGAAGCUUCACACACACACCCCCACCCCCUCCUGGCUCCUGGCUCCAUUCCUGUACACUCCACCAGGGCAGCCUCGCAUACAUUCAAUCCUGGAUACUUAGUUUGUGGCUGGCCCGUCACAAACCUCCCCUGCCCCAUCUCACACGCACGUGUGCACACACACACACAGACACACACACGGCAACAUCUCAAAACCCCACUGCAUUUAAACCAGGAAAACAGUGGGUGGGAACUUAAGGAAACGACUAAGGAAGGAUUUCAGGAGUUUCCGCUGAUGGGUCGCAUCUGGAAAGCAGCUGAGGCGCAGACCUGACAGUUCACCAAAGUGACUGUGAGAGCGAGCCCCGAGGGAGGGCCCGGCGGGCGGGGGCCGCGGGUGUGAGCUCGAGCUCCUGGUGUGCCCCUUACCUCCUAGCUCUUCACCAGGUGCACCCAAACCUGUGGGAGCCUGAGGUCUUGAACGUCUAUGCCAAAAAAGGCUCUAAAAUAACCCAUUUAAAAAUGAAGCCCCC
This is a long non-coding RNA of Hyaena hyaena (striped hyena), 1015 nucleotides long. RefSeq lists it as uncharacterized. Lineage: Eukaryota; Metazoa; Chordata; Mammalia; Carnivora; Hyaenidae. The transcript is spliced from 4 exons. The record is from RefSeq and is a predicted model, not a curated record.